RNAcentral lists this ribosomal RNA (253 nucleotides) under uncultured bacterium. RNAcentral's name for it is "partial 16S ribosomal RNA". It matches the Rfam family "Bacterial small subunit ribosomal RNA", at positions 524 to 776 of the family's 1533-position model. The record is from RNAcentral.
UACGUAGGGGGCCAGCGUUGUCCGGAAUCAUUGGGCGUAAAGCGUGCGUAGACGGCUAUCUAAGUCGGGUGUGAAAGCCCCGGGCUCAACCUGGGAAUUGCAUUCGAGACUGAAUAGCUAGGGUACGGUAGAGGGAAGCGGAAUUUCCGGUGUAGCGGUGAAAUGCGCAGAUAUCGGGAAGAACACCCGUGGCGAAGGCGGCUCUCUGGGACGGUACUGACGCUGAGACGCGAAAGCGUGGGUAGCAAACAGG